GAUGUCAAACCCCGCCUCUUCAACAACACUCGCUCUGCAGUCUGCCAUGCUGCUGCUGCUGCUGCUGCUGCUGCUGCACACCGCUGCCACGGCUACUGCAGGCUGAGACUCACGCAGUUAUACGAAACAUGAAACCAUGAUCGAAAGAAGAAAAUCCGGGAUACAAGCGGCCGAAUUGAGCUUCCUCUGUUUGGAUAUCAAGUUAAGAGCUUGUCUGUUGAGAGCAACUCUGACAAAACCCACAACUGAUUGAAAUGGCGCCGCUGCUUCUUUAAAUCAAAGGAUCCAGUUCACGAGGUUCUUAGAGGCCACUGCAUACUUGUGCCUCAUCUCCACUGAGCAGUACACCACAGGAUUGAGGAAAUGGGCUGCCGUGAUGGAGUGUGCACCAAGGGGUCACAAUGUAUCAGCAUGAUCCAGACUUUCCCCAGGAAGUACUUGAAAGAGCCCAUUGAGGAGACGUUUCCCUCUGCACUUGUUUCCUCCAAGGACAUAAUGCUUCUGCUUCCUUUUAAAAUAAAAAGGC
Molecule: long non-coding RNA, 526 nt
Organism: Gambusia affinis (western mosquitofish)
Lineage: Eukaryota; Metazoa; Chordata; Actinopteri; Cyprinodontiformes; Poeciliidae
Exons: 3
Source: RefSeq, a predicted model, not a curated record